CAAUAGCGUAUAUUAAAGUUGUUGCGGUUAAAAAGCUCGUAGUUGGAUUUCUGCCGAGGACGACCGGUCCGCCCUCUGGGUGAGCAUCUGGCUCGGCUUGGGCAUCUUCUUGGAGAACGUAUCUGCACUUGACUGUGUGGUGCGGUAUCCAGGACUUUUACUUUGAAAAAAUUAGAGUGUUCAAAGCAGGCCUAUGCUCUGAAUAGGUUAGCAUGGAAUAAUAAAAUAGGACUUUGGUUCUAUUUUGUUGGUUUCUAGGACCGAAGUAAUGAUUAAUAGGGACAGUUGGGGGCAUUCAUAUUCCAAUGUCAGAGGUGAAAUUCUUGGAUUUGUUAAAGACGGACUACUGCAAAAGCAUUUGCCAAGGAUGUUUUCAUUAAUCAAGAACGAAAGUUAGGGGAUCGAAGACGAUUAGAUACGGU
RNAcentral lists this ribosomal RNA (422 nucleotides) under uncultured eukaryote. Its description in RNAcentral is "bacterial SSU rRNA". It matches the Rfam family "Eukaryotic small subunit ribosomal RNA", at positions 592 to 1018 of the family's 1831-position model. The record is from RNAcentral.